GACGAACGCUGGCGGCGUGCCUAAUACAUGCAAGUCGAGCGGACGGAUGGGAGCUUGCUCCCAGACCGUCAGCGGCGGACGGGUGAGUAACACGUGGGCAACCUGCCUGUAAGACUGGGAUAACUCCGGGAAACCGGGGCUAAUACCGGAUAACUCUUUCCCUCACAUGAGGGAAAGCUGAAAGAUGGCAUCUCGCUAUCACUUACAGAUGGGCCCGCGGCGCAUUAGCUAGUUGGUGAGGUAACGGCUUACCAAGGCGACGAUGCGUAGCCGACCUGAGAGGGUGAUCGGCCACACUGGAACUGAGACACGGCCCAGACUCCUACGGGAGGCAGCAGUAGGGAAUCUUCCGCAAUGGACGAAAGUCUGACGGAGCAACGCCGCGUGAGUGAUGAAGGUUUUCGGAUCGUAAAACUCUGUUGUCAGGGAAGAACAAAUACCGGAGUAACUGCCGGUACCUUGACGGUACCUGAUCAGAAAGCCACGGCUAACUACGUG
This 498-nucleotide ribosomal RNA is filed under the name uncultured bacterium. Its description in RNAcentral is "partial 16S ribosomal RNA". It matches the Rfam family "Bacterial small subunit ribosomal RNA", at positions 28 to 507 of the family's 1533-position model. The record is from RNAcentral.